AGUAAGCUAAUCUCUUAAAGCGUCUCAGUUCGGACUGUAGGCUGCAACUCGCCUACACGAAGUCGGAAUCGCUAGUAAUCGCGGAUCAGCAUGCCGCGGUGAAUACGUUCCCGGGCCUUGUACACACCGCCCGUCACACCAUGGGAGUUUGUAACGCCCAAAGUCGGUGGCCUAACCUUUAUGGAGGGAGCCGCCUAAGGCGGGACAGAUGACUGGGGUGAAGUCGUAACAAGGUAUC
RNAcentral lists this ribosomal RNA (238 nucleotides) under uncultured bacterium. RNAcentral describes it as "partial 16S ribosomal RNA". It matches the Rfam family "Bacterial small subunit ribosomal RNA", at positions 1262 to 1500 of the family's 1533-position model. The record is from RNAcentral.